GACCUACCUGACAUGCUGCUGAGUGUACUUGAACUCGCCGUCGGACUUCCGGAUGGAAAUGAUGACUUCCUUCCACCUGUCGUCGGGGUCUAAAAAGUCAGCCACCCGACAAAGUGCGCUGUAUCUGAGUUUACGUAUUUUCCCCCUUAAGGAUGCCUGUUGUUCGAUUCUCCCGUCAUGUGGCCCUGCGCCUGGCCGAAUGGUGCCGGUCCAAAUACGUCCAGGUGCACUUCACCAGUAAAGACCGUCGAACUGUACUGUACUGUAUUGUACAGUACUCACAAAGCUCAAGGGGCAUUGGGCUUCCCGCCAGGUUAUCAGCGCCUGCCUCCGAGCUCCUUCGAGGCCUCGAGAUCGGCCGUUUUUCGCUGUGGUCUUCGUCAGGGGACACCUCGGGCACGUUGAAGGCCCGCUUUGACGCUGUCCCUUUAACUGGAGACUGAACAGAGUGUCCUUUUGUGUCCCACCCUCAGCACCGAAUCCACUACAAGAUUUCAGUUUGUAUCGAGAACGAGACCCUUUUAUCUUGGUAAGGCGUUACUUUUAGUACCCGCAAAGUGCGCUGCUGCCGUGACGACGGGUGAAAUUAAACAACGGCGACUGAUCGGACUGCAAAAUAAAUGUUUAGUCUUAGUUGAGACAGAAUACAAAUAUAUGUAUGUACGGUAUGUGUACCACAAGGCAGAAAUUGCAAUGAGGUAUGCAAAUACUGUAUAUAUGAGGUGUGUAAAAACUAUAUUUGUCCACAUUUUAUACACAGUGAUUUAAUUCUGGGAAUAAUACCUGCACAUAAAGAUAUCUUGUAAUUCUUGUAGAUAUUAUUUGUUUAUAGAUACAAUUUUCAUUGGCAUAAAGCUCAGCUGUGAUUCUCAGCGAUGGAUUUUCCAUGGCGACGGUAAUGAAAGAGGAAUUUGAGGAAUUGUGAUGGUGUUGAGGUUUUAUGAUAGAUUCAUUAUACAUAGAUUUUUUAUUAUUAUUAUUAUUUUUUUUUUGCAGAACCCUGCUGACAAUCUCCAGCUACUACCGCAGAAUCAGUAAUCAGUCAUCAUAAUAUAAAGGGAAUGGAGCCCAUUACAGCACAGCCUCGGUUCUCGAACAAAUUGGUUUUCGAGCGAAAAUUCCGAGAUUUUUUUGCUUCUGUUUUUGAAUGAAAAUCAGUACUCGAACGCCCUCAACAUAACCCGGAAAUAACAGAACCUGCGCGGUCAGACCAGCUGACCCACGACGCGCUUUGUUGUGAAUUCCCACCCCGCCGAAAAAACUCGGAAAUAACAGAACGCGUGCGGCCCGACCAGCUGACCCACCCGCGACGCCCUUUGUUCUUGUCAAUUCGAAGGAACCCCCGAAAAAACCCGAAAAUAACAGAACUCGCUCGGCGGUUGAUUCGGUUUUCGAACAAAUCAGUUUUCGAACCUUCUAGAGCGGAUUGUGGUCGAGAACCGUAUUUGUACUGUAUUUUUAUGAAAUUGAAAAUUCAAAAUAUAUUUUGUUGUGUUAAUUUUACAGGUCAUCUUUUAACAAUGGAUUACCCAAAAAAAAUAAAAAUAAAAAAGGUCUGCUUCUUCAACUGAUUUAGAAAAAUUUUGCAUUGCUGAUUUUUUUUUUUUCUUUUUCCUUUUUCUUGUUCCGGUCAGGUUUUUAUGGCAUGUUUAUUAAUCAUAUGUUUCAGAAUUAGUUUACACUUAAUUGAAUAGUAGACUUUGAUCAAGUGAACUCACUGUAAAUUUCCUCUUUCAUCAUCAUUCAGGGCAUGACCCUCCAUUUAUUUGAACCUUUAAAGCCAAAAUUCCUGUACCUGUAAAUAAAAACUGUGGUCAUAAUUCAAAAC
Long non-coding RNA from Syngnathoides biaculeatus (alligator pipefish), 1828 nucleotides. RefSeq lists it as uncharacterized. The transcript has 3 exons. NCBI's taxonomy places the organism in Eukaryota, Metazoa, Chordata, Actinopteri, Syngnathiformes, Syngnathidae. The record is from RefSeq and is a predicted model, not a curated record.